GUAGGUGAACCUGCGGAAGGAUCAUUGUCGAAACCUGCCCAACAGAGUGACCCGUGAACAUGUUCAACCUCAUGGGUGCUGGGGCGUUGCUCGGUGCCUUGUGUGCCGGCUCGCCCCUCUCCCAGGCAGGGGAGCGCCCACUUGUGGGCUGUUCCCCGGCUAACCAACGAACCCCGGCAACGGAUAUCUAGGCUCUCGCAUCGAUGAAGAACGCAGCAUCUGACUGACUAGGUACCAGGCUAUCUCGUAU
Molecule: unclassified non-coding RNA, 250 nt
Filed under: plant metagenome
Description: partial contains small subunit ribosomal RNA, internal transcribed spacer 1, and 5.8S ribosomal RNA
Source: RNAcentral